UACAGAGACCUCAAGCGUUAUCCGGAUUUAUUGGGCGUAAAGCGUCCGCAGAUGGUUUGGCGGGUGAGGGGUUAAAACCAAAGGCUCAACCUUUGGAUCGCUCUUCAAACUACCAAACUCGAGGUUGGGAGAGGCAAGCGGAAUUCUCGGUGUAGUCGUAAUAAGCGCUGAUAUCGAGAAGAACACCAAAUGCGAAGGCAGCUUGCUGGAACACACCUGACAUUCAUGGACGAAAGCGUGGGGAGCAAACAGG
RNAcentral lists this ribosomal RNA (253 nucleotides) under uncultured bacterium. Its description in RNAcentral is "partial 16S ribosomal RNA". It matches the Rfam family "Bacterial small subunit ribosomal RNA", at positions 524 to 776 of the family's 1533-position model. The record is from RNAcentral.